Molecule: long non-coding RNA, 458 nt
Organism: Lytechinus pictus (painted urchin)
Lineage: Eukaryota; Metazoa; Echinodermata; Echinoidea; Temnopleuroida; Toxopneustidae
Exons: 3
Source: RefSeq, a predicted model, not a curated record
ACCAUACAUACUCGGCAGAUUGUGAUCAAUCAAGACAAGGCAAACAUGGCUCACAAUUUUGAACUGCUGCGCCGUCUUGCAAGAGAGUGAGAUUCAGCAACACAUAGAAAGACCACAGCAUGGAUUAAGAGACAGGAAGAAUCCAUUUGAAUACGAGGAUGAACCUCUCAGAGUGGGGUACCAACAGAGAGGACCACACAUUGCCUGUCAUGUUACAGGUUUUGACAGGACUUUGUUUUUAUGCCAUUGGUACCUUUUAGAAGAUGCAAGCAGACGAAGCAACUAUAUCACAGUCAUCCGUGUGCAGAAUCAUCAAAGAUUUUUCUGAGGCAAUAGCAAGGAGUAAUAGUUAAUGAAGUUUCCAAUGACAAGAAAUUCAAACCACCCAUCGACAAUUUGAUGAUUGCUACAGGUUUCCAAGAGUCAUAGGUGCUAUCGAUUGGGGCCAAUCCGGGCCA